RNAcentral lists this ribosomal RNA (497 nucleotides) under uncultured bacterium. RNAcentral describes it as "partial 16S ribosomal RNA". It matches the Rfam family "Bacterial small subunit ribosomal RNA", at positions 28 to 507 of the family's 1533-position model. The record is from RNAcentral.
GAUGAACGCUGGCGGCGUGCCUAAUACAUGCAAGUCGAGCGAACGGACGAGAAGCUUGCUUCUCUGAUGUUAGCGGCGGACGGGUGAGUAACACGUGGAUAACCUACCUAUAAGACUGGGGUAACUUCGGGAAACCGGAGCUAAUACCGGAUAAUAUUUUGACCCGCAUGGUUCAAAAGUGAAAGACGGUCUUGCUGUCACUUAUAGAUGGAUCCGCGCUGCAUUAGCUAGUUGGUAAGGUAACGGCUUACCAAGGCAACGAUGCAUAGACGACCUGAGCGGGUGAACGGACACAUGGGAACUGAGACACGGCCCAGACUCCGACGGGAGGAAGCAGUAGGGAAUCUUCCGCAAUGGGCGAAAGCCUGACGGAGCAACGCCGCGGGAGUGAUGAAGGUCUUCGGAUCGUAAAACUCUGUUAUUAGGGAAGAACAUAUGUGUAAGUAACUGUGCACAUCUUGACGGUACCUAAUCAGAAAGCCACGGCUAACUACGUG